Camelus dromedarius (Arabian camel) is the source of this 2163-nucleotide long non-coding RNA. RefSeq lists it as uncharacterized. NCBI's taxonomy places the organism in Eukaryota, Metazoa, Chordata, Mammalia, Artiodactyla, Camelidae. The transcript has 3 exons. The record is from RefSeq and is a predicted model, not a curated record.
UUGAUUAUGUAUGUUUGCCUUUCCAGUGUGUUGUGUAUUUUUGUAUGUCUUCAUGUUUCUAAGUAGCAUCUUUUUAUAUCAGCCUGAAUAACUCCCUCCAACAUUUUUUUUGUAAGGCAGGUUUAGUGCAAACUCCUGCUUUUGUUCGGGAAAGUUUUUAUCCUUCAUUUCUGAAGAAUAGCAAUGCUGAUAGCGUAUUCUUGGUGGCCAUUUUUUCCUUUCAGUACUUUGAAUACAUCAUGCCACUCUCUCUUGUCCUGUAAGUUGUCUACUGAGAAAUCCACUGAUAGCCCAGUGAAGGUUCCAAUCUUUUUUCUCUUGCUGCCUUUAAGAUUCUCUCUUUAUCUGUGAUUUUUGACACUUUCAUUAUAAUGUGUCUUGGAUAAAAUGGUUUUGAAUUGGAAUAAUUAGAUGACCUAUUAGCUUCAUGAACUUGAAUGUCCAAGUGUCUCCCCAGAUUUCAGAAGUUCUUGGCCAUUAUUUCUUUAAAUAAGCUUUCUACUCCCUUUUUUCUCCACUUCUCCUUCUGGAAUUCCAAUGAAUCUGAUAUUGGUUCUUUUGAAGAUAUCUUAUAGAUCAUAUUGGCUUUCUUAGUUCUUUUUUAUUCUUUUUUGUUUGUUAUACUCUGAUGGGGUUAUUUCCAAGUUCCUUAAGCUUGCAUGUCUUUUCUUGAUCUUACAGUGCACCAUGUCAGCUGUUAGUAACCUCUCUUUUGUUUUUAUGGUUAACCCUACAGCUCAAACAGUCUCUGUUGCCAGUAGACCUUGGCUUGUUUCCUGCACGCACACUCUGUCAGCUUGAGAGUGCUCUCACUGCCACCCUUAGGAGUGUACAUAAGGAACCAGACAAGAGUGGGAGGAAUUGUGGGUUUGGCACUCCCAGGACUGGCCUGUUUCCCUGAUCACUCACCAUGCAAGGUGAAAACAUUCACCUUCUCCCUUUUAUUUUCUGCAAAAUUAUAUUAAUACACAUAUUACACAAUGAUGUUUACAUAUCACUGAGCAUUGUCUAUACCCAUUUAACCCUCAAAAUAUUGGAAAAGGAUAUUAUAUAAACAAAUUUAAGGUAGAUAAUACUAUUUUCCCCAUUUCACAGAUGUGAACACUGAUAUUUGGAUGUGAUAUGUAACUAUCCAAUGCUACACACUGGACUGAUCUUAUCCCAGUCAAUUGACAGUAGCUAUGGGCAGUACUAAAGUGAAUUCAGGAUAGCAAUGAUGGACAAAUGCAUGAAGAUCAUUACGCUGAAACAAAGUUGAACCUAUGAAGAAUAGCAUCUCCAUGGAUUGCUGUAAAAAUCUUCUUGGAUACACACACAUACAUUUCUCCAGAUUUCUACUGGGACUGAAAUUUAUGAGUCAUAAUGGAUGUAUAACUUAAAGUUUAACAGAUAAAUGCUGAACUGAAUAGACCGAUUUGUACAGAAGAAGCAUAUAAAAGUUCUUGUUAUUGUAUAUUUUCACCAACAUGUGACAGUCAAUUAUUUUGUUUUGUUUUUGUUAAUGAUUUUAGCUAUUCUAGUGGAUGGGUAGUGGUAGACCAUGGCUUAAAUUUGCAUUUUUAUAAUUACUAAUAAUAUUGAGUUAAUUUCUGUAUGAUCAUUGGCAAUAUAUUAUUCCCAUUGUAAAUGGCUAUUUUUUUCCAUUUGGUCUCUAUCUUAUUCAGUGUAGAAUUUUUUUUAUAUUUAAGAUAAGUCUUGGUUAAAUUUGUAUCAUAUGUUGUAUGUUUUGUGAGUAUGUGUUUACUCUUGCUUUAAUAAUCUACUAGUUGGAUUAUAAUAACUUUAUACAGAUUUUAUAAGUCCUCCUACUAUGUUUUCUUUAAUCUUCUAGAGCAUGUCAGCUAUUAGCUCUUUGUAUUUCCAUAUAAUAGUUUCAGUGAUCUUGUUGAUUUACACACACACACACACACACAUCCCCCUGUACAUGACUAAUGGGCUUUGAUUACAACUACACUGAAACUAUGAACAAUCUGGGGGAAAUACGAAUCUGCAUCGUUUAUUCUUCUCGCCUAUGAAUAUGGUGUAUUUUCUUUAUUAAUUAUUCCCAGUGUUUUUGGAAGUCUUCUGUGUAUUGAUCUUUGAAUUAUUUUACAACGAUUUAAUUUCAGAGAGAAACAUUUUAAAGAUUUAUUUCUAGACAUUUGUUAUUUGAGAUGUUACUGU